RNAcentral lists this unclassified non-coding RNA (267 nucleotides) under Hevea brasiliensis (rubber tree). Lineage: Eukaryota; Viridiplantae; Streptophyta; Magnoliopsida; Malpighiales; Euphorbiaceae. The record is from RNAcentral.
CACACCAAUAGUUGCAAAAAUAAAGAUGAUGAUGCCGACAAUGAGGAUAAUUACAUUGUUGAACCCCCAAGCAAGGAGAAGAACCUUCUCAUAGAAUACACUUGACAGUUCUGAAUGGGCAAGACUGAGGGCCCAUAGACGAAGGUAAGAUGCUGUGUUUGAGACUGCUCCAAGCACAAACUCAAUGGUAUGUAUCAACUGAUGUACAAAAACUUCACUGAAUUCAAAUUCUUCAUGACCAUGGGAAUCAUGAUUCACCUCCACUUG